Pelobates cultripes (western spadefoot toad) is the source of this 414-nucleotide non-coding RNA. The record is from the annotation of a GenBank genome assembly. Lineage: Eukaryota; Metazoa; Chordata; Amphibia; Anura; Pelobatidae.
GUAUAGUUGUGUAUUUUCAUAAAAACAGCCUGUAACAAUUUAACGAACUGUGGCUUGUUGACUAUAAAAGUCCUUAUAUAGUGGCGUCCCACCCGUUUUUUAAAUUUUUAUUUUAUAUAUGUGUGCCCCUUAAUCAUUAAGCGUGUAUAGCCAGAGUAGCGAUUACGAGCAGUUCAGAACACUCCCGCUUAUGAUAACUAAUACAGCACAUUUUAAGACAUAGUACAGAAUAGCUUGAGGGUAACAGAGUUAUAGCUUGCACACCCUCAGAAGCAUUUAUAUAUAUAUACUGCUAUCGUGAUCUUUUUCCACACAUCACAGGGACAUCCCUGCAUAUGCAUGGUACAUGUCCACAUUAGAGCUUCAUCACAGGAACAAGUUAGCACCAUGUCCAUAGCCUAGGUACCCUGUGCC